ACGGGUGAGUAACGCGUGGGUAACCUGCCUUAUACAGGGGGAUAACAGUUGGAAACGACUGCUAAUACCGCAUAAGCGCACGGUAUCGCAUGAUACAGUGUGAAAAAACUCCGGUGGCAUCAUCUGAAUGUCAAAGAUUUAUCGCUGAAAGAUGGCCUCGCGUCUGAUUAGCUAGUUGGUGAGGUAACGGCCCACCAAGGCGACGAUCGGUAGCCGGACUGAGAGGUUGAACGGCCACAUUGGGACUGAGAUACGGCCCAGACUCC
Molecule: ribosomal RNA, 266 nt
Filed under: uncultured Eubacteriales bacterium
Lineage: Bacteria; Bacillati; Bacillota; Clostridia; Eubacteriales
Description: uncultured Clostridiales bacterium partial 16S ribosomal RNA
Rfam family: Bacterial small subunit ribosomal RNA
Source: RNAcentral